CACGUCUUGUGGUUGAAAUUAAUGAUAGAGAAAAUGAAAGUUAUUGACAGGUAAAGACCUGUAAGUUUUUGCUAGCAUCAUUUAUGUUGUUACCUGUUGAGAUGAUGGUAAAAUCAUCAGAAAAUUGAAUAAUGGACGUAUGGGGGUCAUUUAUUUGAUGCAGUCUUAUGGUGUACAGAUUGAAAAGUAGAGGUGAGAGACAGGAGCCUUGAGGCAACCCACCAUUGACUUCUCCACUGUAGUUAUCCAGUUUUAGGAAUCUAGAUGAAAAG
RNAcentral lists this long non-coding RNA (272 nucleotides) under Drosophila guanche. The record is from RNAcentral. Lineage: Eukaryota; Metazoa; Arthropoda; Insecta; Diptera; Drosophilidae.